RNAcentral lists this ribosomal RNA (400 nucleotides) under uncultured bacterium. RNAcentral's name for it is "bacterial SSU rRNA". It matches the Rfam family "Bacterial small subunit ribosomal RNA", at positions 355 to 772 of the family's 1533-position model. The record is from RNAcentral.
UGGGGAAUAUUGGACAAUGGGCGAAAGCCUGAUCCAGCCAUGCCGCGUGAGUGAUGAAGGCCUUAGGGUUGUAAAGCUCUUUUGUCAGGGAAGAUAAUGACGGUACCUGAAGAAUAAGCACCGGCUAACUUCGUGCCAGCAGCCGCGGUAAUACGAAGGGUGCUAGCGUUGUUCGGAAUCACUGGGCGUAAAGCGCGCGUAGGCGGCGAUAUAAGUCAGGGGUGAAAGCCUGGAGCUCAACUCCAGAACUGCCUUUGAAACUAUAUUGCUAGAGUGUCGGAGGGGAUGGCGGAAUUCCUAAUGUAGAGGUGAAAUUCGUAGAUAUUAGGAGGAACACCGGUGGCGAAGGCGGCCAUCUGGACGACAACUGACGCUGAGGCGCGAAAGCGUGGGGAUCAAA